Molecule: ribosomal RNA, 303 nt
Filed under: uncultured bacterium
Lineage: Bacteria
Description: partial 16S ribosomal RNA
Rfam family: Bacterial small subunit ribosomal RNA
Source: RNAcentral
AGCAGUAGCCACGGUAAUACGGAGGGAGCUAGCGUUGUUCGGAAUUACUGGGCGUAAAGCGCACGUAGGCGGUUAUUCAAGUCAGAGGUGAAAGCCCGGGGCUCAACCCCGGAACUGCCUUUGAAACUAGAUGACUAGAAUCUUGGAGAGGUCAGUGGAAUUCCGAGUGUAGAGGUGAAAUUCGUAGAUAUUCGGAAGAACACCAGUGGCGAAGGCGACACACUGGCUCACUACUGACGCUGAGGCGCGAAAGCGUGGGGAGCAAACAGGAUUAGAUACCCCGGUAGUCCCUGUCUCUUAUAC